GAGCCGGUAGCUCAGUUGGUAGAGCAACGGACUUUUAAUCCGUAGGUCCUGGGUUCGACCCCCAGCCGGCUCA
RNAcentral lists this transfer RNA (73 nucleotides) under Gemmatimonadota bacterium. Its description in RNAcentral is "Gemmatimonadetes bacterium tRNA-Lys". It matches the Rfam family "tRNA". Rfam says of the family: Transfer RNA (tRNA) molecules are approximately 80 nucleotides in length. Lineage: Bacteria; Pseudomonadati; Gemmatimonadota. RNAcentral also lists the same sequence under 1 other name. The record is from RNAcentral.